AGCCCCCACAAUGCCGCUCAGAAAAUGGUCCCAACCCGGAAGUAAGAAAAAUUGCAGUUCCACCCUCAUCCGCUGGGGGCUGGUACCAGAAGCGAGCAAAUCCUCAUUGACUCCCAUGUUAAAAAUGCCAUUUUCACAGCAGAAAUAAACAUGUUUACAGCCUGGUUCAAAAAAUGGUUUUUUGUCUAAAUUAUCUAGUUUAUACUCAUGACAACUCUGAGGGGGGUGAAUUUUUUUCUCACUCUUCUGUUUAAGUGUAUUGAAAGCCUAAAAUUCUGUAUAAUUAAUGAGCAUCCAACACACGUGACCGCCGCCUCAGACCCACGUGACCACAGAGCUAGCUCCGUGGAAAGGCCUCAGUACAGCCUCGGUCUCUCCUGGAAACUGUGUCGGGAUUUUGAGUCUCUGUGCUUGUGAAUUCUGUUUUGGAUAAUAUUGGUGCAAUUGUUGGACAAAAUGACUUGCAGUGGUAUUAAUUGCACUAAUAGAGCGUCCAAGGAGUCUCCACUUCAUUUUUUUCGGGAAGGACCUGAUUGGUGUCCAGAACCUGCUGAAGAAGCACGAGGCUCUGCAGGCUGAGAUCACAGGUCAUGAACCUCGCAUCAAGGCUGUCACCCAGAAAGGAGAGACCAUAAUGGAGGAAGGUAGAGCAGGUCUGGUCCUGACAUGUUUCUGAGGUGUCUGCAGGUUCUGGCUCACUUUGUUUGGGUCCAGGUCACUUCGCUGGUUCAGAACCCUCGGCCCGUCAGAACAUUCUUAUCCACCACGUUCUAACACCAGACCUGUUAACCCGACAGCAACAAGUGGCUCCAACUGACGAUGAGACCGGGAAGGAGCUGGUUCUGGCUCUGUACGACUACCAGGAGAAGAGUCCUGGAGAGGUCACCAUGAAGAAGGGCGACAUCCUCACGCUGCUCAACAGCACCAACAAGGUUGUUUUACUUGAACUCGCGUCUUUAGCUGAAUGAGGAUGGAGAGACGGGUCGGACCUGGAGCAGGUCGAGGUCUUGCAGAAGAAGUUUGACGACUUCCAGAAGGACCUGAAGGCCAACGAGUCCCGCCUGAGGGACAUCAACAAGGUGGCAUCUGAACUGGAGUCAGAAGGUCUGAUGGCUGAGGAGGCUCCUAUGGUUCAGGCUCAGCAACAAGAACAUCUGGGUUCUGCUCCUGGAAAGGAUGAAGCCGACUCUAACCCCGGCUUUCCACAGGAGUCGUCAGCAGCACGUUUACUGCAGCAGCACGUCAUAGCUGCUGAUAGGAACCGCUGUGGUCAACAGAACCUUUUCCACCGGAGCCGUCAGCAGCGCGAGUCGGCCGCGUCUCAGGAGCAGCAUGUCGCGGCCUUUACGCGCCGGUUCUAUUUUCUACGCGCGACGCCUCUGAAACGGGUCAAGUUCGACAUUUUUGGGGAAGGAAAGACAGGAAAUCGGACGCGGAAAUUGAGAGAAGCUACCGAGAUUUUCAGAAUAAAGAACGUACUGCCUUCCGGUUGCUUUACUUUUAAAAAAGGUUACUAACUGAGCGGCCCCGUGAGAAGUUAUCACCUAGCUAGCGGUCUCCUUUGUUUUUCAGGUCCGUAUUGGCGAUUAUAAAACGGACAGAACAUAAAACACAAACCAUGUUGUAGUUUUCUCCUGCUUGUUGUUGUGUUUACUGACGAAGUCACUCGAGUGACUUCGUGCUCGGUCGGUGACAGCUGCUCCCCUGCUGCUUCGCGUCUCGUGGGAAGGGCCAAGCAGCAGCUUACGCGAGCAAGACGUGCUGCUGCAGUAACGUGCUGCUGACGGCUCCCGUGGAAACCCGGGGUAACACGGCGUCACCCUAGAAGGUGAGUUCAUUCAGCUGAUCAGAGGUCACCUCUGAUGGCCGCAGUCACGGCCGACCGUGCUGACAUCACAUAGGAAUUCAGGUGACCCGGCAGGCACCAGGUGCUGGUGAAAGUGGGGACAUGUCAGCUGGUUGCCAUGGCUACAGUUAUCUUUAUGCAUCUGUAUGACUGCUGACUGGUGUGUGUUUCCUGUGACCUUUGACCUCAGACCGUACGGUUGGGCGUUCAGACGACGGCUAACUUUAAUUCCAUCAAGGUAAGAGGAAGCUCUUCCCUUCCUGUCUGAGCGAUCCGUCUCCAGGUUUCCUCGUCCGGCGUCCAGCCCGCUGGCGUCCACCUUCAUCUCACUGGGUUUGGUUUCUCUCCAGGAGCUGAACAACCGCUGGCGCUCGCUGCAACAUGCUGGGCAGCGCCCAUGAGGUGCAGCGCUUCCACAGAGACGCUGAUGAGACCAAAGAGUGGAUCGAGGAGAAGAACCAGGCCCUGAACACAGACAACUACGGCCACGACCUGGCCAGCGUUCAGGCUCUGCAGCGUGAACAUGAAGGCUUUGAGCGUGACCUGGCAGCUUUGGGUGAUAAGGUCCGCAUUCCUGAUCGGUACCAGGACCCGAGUUGUCUCUGGAGACACGUUCUUCAUGGUUCUGGUGACUCCACCCCAGCCGUUCCUGAUCAGCGAUCAGCGGGGUGCUUUCCUAUUUAAGGUGGAUGGAGGACACAAUUUGACGCCAGAAGAUUGCCUCAGUUUUGGAUUCCUGUCGACCUCAUUGGAUACUGACCUCUACUCCAGGAUUUGGAUAUUCAACACACGGACCUUAUCACCACCCUCCAUAACCCACCUCUCAUCUCACCCAGUGCCCCAUCCACCAGGACGCCCCGCUUCUCUCCACCUCUGCUCCCUCUCCUGCGCUUCCCCCGGCUCUCUACCUCUCUCUCCUCCAGCCAACACGUACACCCACCACAAUGCUGAGCUGUUGUUGCAGUUCCAACCACAGACUUAUCUGUGCACCUUAAGUUCCUCCUUAUAAAUAAAUCAUUUUUUUCCAUCA
Molecule: non-coding RNA, 2876 nt
Organism: Nothobranchius furzeri (turquoise killifish)
Lineage: Eukaryota; Metazoa; Chordata; Actinopteri; Cyprinodontiformes; Nothobranchiidae
Source: RefSeq, a predicted model, not a curated record